Molecule: ribosomal RNA, 496 nt
Filed under: uncultured bacterium
Lineage: Bacteria
Description: partial 16S ribosomal RNA
Rfam family: Bacterial small subunit ribosomal RNA
Source: RNAcentral
GAUGAACGCUGGCGGCGUGCCUAAUACAUGCAAGUCGAGCGAACGGACGAGAAGCUUGCUUCUCUGAUGUUAGCGGCGGACGGGUGAGUAACACGUGGCUAACCUACCUAUAAGACUGGGAUAACUUCGGGAAACCGGAGCUAAUACCGGAUAAUAUUUUGAACCGCAUGGUUCAAAAGUGAAAGACGGUCUUGCUGUCACUUAUAGAUGGAUCCGCGCUGCAUUGGCUAGUUGGUAGGGUAACGGCUUACCAAGGCAACGAUGCAUAGCCGACCUGUGGGGGUGAUGGCCCCCUGUGAAGCUGAGCCGCGGCCAGACUCCUACGGGAGGCAGCAGUAGGGAAUCUUCCGCAAUGGGCGAAAGCCUGACGGAGCAACGCCGCGUGAGUGAUGAAGGUCUUCGGAUCGUAAAACUCUGUUAUUAGUUAAGAACAUAUGUGUAAGUAACUGUGCACAUCUUGACGGUACCUAAUCAGAAAGCCACGGCUAACUACGUG